Molecule: signal recognition particle RNA, 245 nt
Filed under: bovine gut metagenome
Description: Bacterial large signal recognition particle RNA
Rfam family: Bacterial large signal recognition particle RNA
About the family: The signal recognition particle (SRP) is a universally conserved ribonucleoprotein involved in the co-translational targeting of proteins to membranes. Archaeal SRP consists of a 7S RNA and homologues of the eukaryotic SRP19 and SRP54 proteins.
Source: RNAcentral
CGUACCAGCCGGGGGAGCAGCGGGGCCCUGAACCCGAAGUCCGCUAUACGCGGGGGUGGAUUCCCGUUCCGAGGACGGAGCUUGCGCAGUCUGUGCCGUACGGAAAUGUGAUGACAAACGGGUCUUGCGCGAUUCGCGGCUGUGAACCAUGUCAGGUGGGGAACCAAGCAGCAUUAAGCAGUUUAGCGGAUGCGCCGCGAGGCAGCCUGUUUCGAGCAGGAACUGCGGCGUCGUGCGUGAUCCUU